GAUGAAGAACGCAGCGAAAUGCGAUAAGUAAUGUGAAUUGCAGAAUUCAGUGAAUCAUCGAAUCUUUGAACGCACAUUGCGCCCGCCAGUAUUCUGGCGGGCAUGCCUGUCCGAGCGUCAUUUCAACCAUCAAGCCCCCGGGCUUGUGUUGGGGACCUGCGGCUGCCCGCAGGCCCUGAAAACCAGUGGCGGGCUCGCUGUCACACCGAGCGUAGUAGCAAUCACCUCGCUCAGGGCGUGCUGCGGGUUCCGGCCGUUAAACAGCCUUACAAAACCCAAGGUUGACCUCGGAUCAGGUAGGAAGACCCGCUGAACUUAAGCAUAUCAUAAGCGGAGGA
Molecule: unclassified non-coding RNA, 338 nt
Filed under: soil metagenome
Description: partial contains 5.8S ribosomal RNA, internal transcribed spacer 2, and large subunit ribosomal RNA
Rfam family: 5.8S ribosomal RNA (bases 1-120)
Source: RNAcentral